GGGUGCGAUCAUACUAGCACGAAUGCACCAGAUCCCAUCAGUGCAAGCGUGCUUUGGCGAGAGUAGUACUAGGAUAGGUGACCUCCCGGGAAGUCCUCGUGUUGCACCCC
RNAcentral lists this ribosomal RNA (110 nucleotides) under Brassica napus (rape). The record is from RNAcentral. Lineage: Eukaryota; Viridiplantae; Streptophyta; Magnoliopsida; Brassicales; Brassicaceae.